GUUUGAUGGCGACCGGCGCACGGGUGAGUAACACGUAUCCAACCUGCCGAUGACUCGGGGAUAGCCUUUCGAAGAAAGAUUAAUACCCGAUGGCAUAGUUCUUCCGCAUGGUAGAACUAUUAAAGAAUUUCGGUCAUCGAUGGGGAUGCGUUCCAUUAGGUUGUUGGCGGGGUAACGGCCCACCAAGCCUUCGAUGGAUAGGGGUUCUGAGAGGAAGGUCCCCCACAUUGGAACUGAGACACGGUCCAAACUCCUACGGGAGGCAGCAUG
This 270-nucleotide ribosomal RNA is filed under the name uncultured bacterium. Its description in RNAcentral is "partial 16S ribosomal RNA". It matches the Rfam family "Bacterial small subunit ribosomal RNA", at positions 83 to 353 of the family's 1533-position model. The record is from RNAcentral.